This is a long non-coding RNA of Limulus polyphemus (Atlantic horseshoe crab), 3749 nucleotides long. RefSeq lists it as uncharacterized. The record is from RefSeq and is a predicted model, not a curated record. The transcript is spliced from 4 exons. NCBI's taxonomy places the organism in Eukaryota, Metazoa, Arthropoda, Merostomata, Xiphosura, Limulidae.
AACUCCAGCGCGCAUGAUCCCAACGUUGCAUGACUUCUGCUGUCGUAACAGUAGCGUGUGAAAUUAUUUACAUAACAAUUUAAAACUAUCAAACUCUUCCAUCUGCCAAGACAACUAUAAGUAGAAUAAGCAGAGCAGACUUAAAAUUAUGCUCUGCUCUUUUUAGUGAACAUCAUUAUUCCACAUGUCAUUGAUUUCUGCAAGCAAGUUGCAGGGGACAAACAAAAGCUUUCAAUAUACUCAAACACAUAGAUUUAAAAACUGAAUUACACAGCACUUUAAAGAAUAUUCUGAUAUAUAUUUGUGAAACACGUAUUUUUCAAAUGUAAUAUAAUGUGUUUCUGGCAUAUUGUGAACAGUAUGUGUUUCUGUUGGUUUUAUAGUGUGUAUCUUUGUUAUGUAGAAAUUACAACUGCUAAAAUGUAAUCAUAAGAGUUUGAAUAUCAGAAAUGAGGUUUCCCACUAAGCUCAAAACAAUAAAAACCUGUGAAAUACCCAAGACCAAAUUUUCUGCACUCACUAGUUUUCAAUCUUAGCCACUUCGCUGUGCUCCCCUUUCUUUGAGUGAUGUGGAAAUAUCAAUUAUUUGUGAUGCAAGUUUAACAUCUACCUAAAUUUGAUCAUGACAUAAUAUAUACAUAUUUUAAGCGAGGAUAUUUCUGUGGAUAUGAAGAGUAAAAAUGUUAUAUAAAUGAACAAUUCUUUCUGGUGCAUUAUUAUCCAGUAUGUUACAGUGUCAAAUUUUAAAAUAAGAGCACUGAAAAAUGGUUAUAAAUGAGUAAGUUGUGAGAAAGUACAGUUUGUGAAUGGAGGCUUAGUGUACUGAUUUGAUUUUUAGGCAUAAAAUACAAUAAUAUAGUACUUUCAGUAAACAUGAGUUGGUUGUUGGAUUUUUUACAUAAUAUUAAGCAUUAGGUUAAUUGAACAGAAAAAAUAUUUUCAGACGAAAUUCUUUAAAAUAAGCUUCUGAAAGUUUCUCCAUCAAUACACGUUUGUUGCACAUGUGAAGUAACAUCUUCCAUGUAUGUUGUAGGUUAUCGAGUAAAUGUCUGUUGCUUUUACAGUGAAUAUGAAUUUUAUUUCAAUUAAAGAGGCUUGAGUCAUCAUGAUUUACUGUAUAGCAAACACUUAAGAUAUCAUAGUUCUUAUACACAAUGAUGUGAUGGCUCUUAUACUUUUUCCAGUUUUGAUAUUUACUCAUUUUAUCUUUGCCAACCAUUUUUGGUAAAUAUAUAAAUUUGUUAAUGGUAUACGAAGAAACUGUUUUUUCUUGACCGUUCCAAAAAUUUCAGUAUCUGUAAGCUUGAUGGCAUCUUGCAAGUUAAUUGCUACAUUUCGUUUCAGCUGUUAGUGGAUUUAAUGAAUCAACUCUGACAAAAUGUUUAAGAUACUCAAGUUAUAAUAAGAGCUCAUCUGAAAUAUAAACAAAGAUUGUGUAUUGGAGGGAGGUUUUUUCUCAGUUAUAGUAAGGUAAAAAUGAAAUACAAAAAAUUAAGUAAAGAUACCUGAAUAUUGUAGAUUGUUCAGACUGUUAAUCAGUCUUUUGUUAUAAUUUUGUCAUCUAAGUGCAAAUGUUCUAACUUCAAAGAAAAUACUGACAAGUUAUCAGCAAGAAUAUUGGACUACUUUCUUAAGGCAGUCAGAGUCAGCUUCACUUGCAAAUGUUUAGAUGCAUUCUACUUUUUGUAGCUUUAAAUUAUCAGAUGCUUGUUAUUGAUAUGGACAAAAGUUUUCAGUGUUUGCACAUUUAAUAAUCCAUGUGAAUGUAUAUUUUUGAUUUGCCUUAGAUGAAUGAAGCCCACCCAAGGCUGCAGUGAAAACUGACCUGCACAUGUUCACUGCUGUACCACCACAUUUGUUAUCAUAAGAUCUAUUUAAAAACAUUCAUAUCCUAGGUUACUAUAGUAAUGUUAUUCAUUUAUUUAAAUCAUAGAUGACUUUUUAUUUACAGUCUUGACAGAUUUCUUCAAGAAAAAAUAAAGUUUAAAAGAAACCAUUUUUAUAGUAUCUGAUCCGUCAGAUAUUGUCUUAUUACUACUGGUUUUUUGGAGUGGUUACCAUUAAUGUUACAAGUCUCACCAAAGCCUUCAAUCAUUUUAUUUUGAUUACUAGAAAUCUUUGAAAAUUCUGUGAUUGGUGAUGCCAGUCCGAAUAAGAGAAAGAAAAAAAAUUAAGGUGUUUCUGCUGUUACAGGAUCUGUUUUUCCCAAUGAAGAAGGAACUAGCUUCAGCAGCUUGAUCACACAAACAUCCAUGGGUGCUGCAUCCAGUGACUUAACUGGUAUGCCACCUUGUGGAUUAACAUCAGUACUCGUUUCAUUCUCUAGCGACUUGAGAUAAAACUAUUAUGCAGAGAAAUAUUCAAAUUUUGGUGGCCGAGAGUGGUCACAGUUAACUCUGUUGGCGAUUCUACUGUGAGCUGUCCAUGUACACCAAUAGUUACCGAGUCAACUGACGACUUCAUGAAAAGGUGUACCGUUGAAGGUUCUAGUGGCUACUUCUAGUGGUACAACAGACUUGUAAUGUUUACUAGAAGCUUGCCAAAUUUCAUGAAGAUACACUCCGUAAAUACAGAAUUAUAACAAACAAGGUAUGAUACAAGGAAGAAGAUCAAACUUUAUUUUGAGGGUGUGCAGAGUGAGGCAAAGUGACCAACUUACUGAGAGAGGGUCAUCUGACUCCACCCCUUUAUGCUCAGUUGGGGGACUUCUCGAAUCUUCUAUCAAACUGAACAUGUGAGGGUUUUGUAAUUCCUGGGUGGAGCAGGAGAGCAUGGGAAUGAAGCAAAAGUGGUGCAAUUUGCUACAAUUAUAACAAGAACAAAUGGCAUAUAUGAACAAUAUAUUUGGAAUUUUACACCAAUACAAUACAGUCAAUGUUUGAAGUUAUCAAAAAUGUAUGCCUUUUACCCCAGUAAACUGUCCAAGUAAACUUAUUUUCAUAGCAAAAAUCUAUUGUACUGCUUGAUUAUAUGAUAUUUCACAUAGUACUGAUAAACUAUUGAGAUAUUAUAAUAACCCAAACUCUAGAGGUGAUGGACUAAUUCUGACUACAUUUUUGAAAUCAGCACCAUCAAAUUACCUCGAAUCAUGUGAGUUUUCACCAGUAGCAAAUCUUUUGUUGUCCAGUGUAAAUAAUAACUUCUUACUGUAGACUCUUGAGUUUUUACCAGUAUCAAAUCUUUUGUUGUCCAGUGUAAAUAAUAACUUCUUACUGUAGACUCUUGAGUUUUUACCAGUAUCAAAUCUUUUGUUGUCCAGUGUAAAUAAUAACUUCUUACUGUAGACUCUUGAGUUUUUACCAGUAUCAAAUCUUUUGUUGUCCAGUGUAAAUAAUAACUUCUUACUGUAGACUCUUGAGGUUUUACCAGUAUCAAAUCUUUUGUUCUCCAGUGUAAAUAAUAACUUCUUACUGUAGACUCUUGAGGUUUUACCAGUAUCAAAUCUUUUGUUGUACAGUGUAAAUAAUAACUUCUUACUGUAGACUCUUGAGUUUCAGUUUCUUUUACUGAGGUCUUCGUUGCAGUGAUAUAUUUAUAGCAACAUAUAAGGUAAUGAUAAUGUUAAAUUUUUUAACAGCAUAUAUGGUUGUGGAAAAAACAGUUUACUGAGCUACCCUAUGUUUACAGGCUUGGUUAUUGUAACUACUAUGUACCUGAACCUGUACCUACUAUAACUCUGUAUGUAUUAUCUUCAUGAUGUGUGGCUUUUACUAAACUGAGAAUAAAAUCCAAAACUGUACCUACUAUAA